GGGGAGCUAGUUUAAUUAAAACGUUAGUUUGUGGUGCUGGUGAUGUGAAGUUAUUCACGCUCGCCUC
This 67-nucleotide transfer RNA is filed under the name Armandia sp. GK-2021. Its description in RNAcentral is "tRNA-His". The record is from RNAcentral. Lineage: Eukaryota; Metazoa; Annelida; Polychaeta; Opheliidae.